GCCAUCAUUUAAAGAAAGCGUAAUAGCUCACUGGUCGAGUCGGCCUGCGCGGAAGAUGUAACGGGGCUAAACCAUGCACCGAAGCUGCGGCAGCGACGCUUAUGCGUUGUUGGGUAGGGGAGCGUUCUGUAAGCCUGCGAAGGUGUGCUGUGAGGCAUGCUGGAGGUAUCAGAAGUGCGAAUGCUGACAUAAGUAACGAUAAAGCGGGUGAAAAGCCCGCUCGCCGGAAGACCAAGGGUUCCUGUCCAACGUUAAUCGGGGCAGGGUGAGUCGACCCCUAAGGCGAGGCCGAAAGGCGUAGUCGAUGGGAAACAGGUUAAUAUUCCUGUACUUGGUGUUACUGCGAAGGGGGGACGGAGAAGGCUAUGUUGGCCGGGCGACGGUUGUCCCGGUUUAAGCGUGUAGGCUGGUUUUCCAGGCAAAUCCGGAAAAUCAAGGCUGAGGCGUGAUGACGAGGCACUACGGUGCUGAAGCAACAAAUGCCCUGCUUCCAGGAAAAGCCUCUAAGCAUCAGGUAACAUCAAAUCGUACCCCAAACCGACACAGGUGGUCAGGUAGAGAAUACCAAGGCGCUUGAGAGAACUCGGGUGAAGGAACUAGGCAAAAUGGUGCCGUAACU
This 619-nucleotide ribosomal RNA is filed under the name Escherichia coli. Its description in RNAcentral is "partial 23S ribosomal RNA". It matches the Rfam family "Bacterial large subunit ribosomal RNA", at positions 1115 to 1735 of the family's 2925-position model. The record is from RNAcentral. Lineage: Bacteria; Pseudomonadati; Pseudomonadota; Gammaproteobacteria; Enterobacterales; Enterobacteriaceae.